AACAAGGUUUCCGUAGGUGAACCUGCGGAAGGAUCAUUAAAGAAGCCAUCAGUAGAUAUUAGUGGUGAGGGAGGUCAGAUCCCCUCGCACUUGUGCUCUGCGCAACCCAAACCGUGUACCUAACCAUGUUGCUUCCCCGGACCCGCAGGGCGACCUGCACGGCACCGCUCCUCCUGAACCGAGGGCCGGCCGGCUGUGGACCGGGAGAAGGGCCCGUCUGUAUUUUCCAGAACCAACCAGCCAGCCCGAAGAUGAGAAGUCUGACCCUGGCCAUCGCGCCGCCGGUUUUGUUUAAACAUACCAUAAAACUUUCAACAACGGAUCUCUUGGUUCUCGCAUCGAUGAAGAACGCAGCGAAAUGCGAUAAGUAAUGUGAAUUGCAGAAUUCAGUGAAUCAUCGAAUCUUUGAACGCACAUUGCGCCCCAGGGCAUUCCUUGGGGCAUGCCUGCUCGAGCGUCACAUAAAAGGCCCCUCACAAGCACUUGUGGUGCUGGCGGAUGUGGCCGCCCCCACCCAGGGGGACACCACACCGCUGAAAUGGAUCAGGUGGACGCGACCCUUCUCGCAAACUGGCUUAGUAAAACCGACGUCGAGUCAACCAGCCAGGAGUCGGGCGACGUCUUGCCCGCAAUAAAACGACCCCCAUCCGUCGCGAUGAGAAACCACGGGUUGACCUCGGAUCAGGUAGGGAUACCCGCUGAAC
Molecule: ribosomal RNA, 704 nt
Filed under: Dingleya sp. PDD 100069
Lineage: Eukaryota; Fungi; Ascomycota; Pezizomycetes; Pezizales; Tuberaceae
Description: eukaryotic LSU rRNA
Rfam family: 5.8S ribosomal RNA (bases 307-460)
Source: RNAcentral